This 337-nucleotide long non-coding RNA is filed under the name Manihot esculenta (cassava). RNAcentral's name for it is "long non-coding RNA (MESC_LNC008696)". Lineage: Eukaryota; Viridiplantae; Streptophyta; Magnoliopsida; Malpighiales; Euphorbiaceae. The record is from RNAcentral.
UGAUCAUCCCUAAGUCCUUCCAUUAUUACAUGAAUAAUCCUUACAGGCUCUCAAUUUGCUAUGGUUUCAGGAGUUAUCACCUCAGGUUCAGGUCUCCUCUCUUCCCUUCCCUUCUUAGUGAAUUUCUGAAAAGUACCGUCCCUUAUCAGCCUCUUGAUCUCAUCUUUUAGUUGCCAACACUCUUUCGUCGUAUGACCAUGAUAUUUGUGGAAACGGUAGUACUUGGUCCUGUCUCGUUUCUCCGCUUUCUUGGGAUUGAGCUUAGGUGGCCACCUAAUUUUCUUAUCAUUUUUUCUAAUCCACAUUAAAAUGUGUGUCCAUGAGUCAUUCAACGGAG